Varroa destructor (honeybee mite) is the source of this 672-nucleotide long non-coding RNA. RefSeq lists it as uncharacterized. The record is from RefSeq and is a predicted model, not a curated record. Lineage: Eukaryota; Metazoa; Arthropoda; Arachnida; Mesostigmata; Varroidae.
CCCUCUCCGCCAGCGUUAUCUCCGUCAUCGCCUCCUGUCAAAGCACUCAAUGAUUGGGCCGCGUUCAUGAAGCAGUCCUUUAUAUCGCAACGAGUUUGAAACAAGGUACAAAUUUGACUGCAACCCCGACAGCCGUGCGGCCUUUGGAUAGCACACCUUUGACUUUUUCUGCGACUUCCAUCAUACCCUGUGCGUCUGCUGUGGAUGUCCGAAAAAAGUAGAAGGCUAUUCCUGAAAUUAGACAAGGAAACAACAUCACUUUAACGGCCUGCCACCCACAGUAUCUAAUUCUUGUUGUUCUUACAAUAUUCCUGUGCUUCUAAACACAGAGAUAUCUAGUUGAAGCAUGAAAAAGGUCAUGGACACAGAUCAUCAUCGCCCAGUUUAGUAAGCGAGAAACUUUGGGCUUGACUCUUAGAUGCGUCAUGGCAUUCUACUCGAAUGAACUAGAAAGCAGCUGAUCAACUAGAUCUGAGGGGUGUCUCGUCAUUUCUCGUUUACCGUAUCGCGCCUUAAGUUGAACUGGGUAAUAUCCACGACCGCUAUAUCCUAGGCACUUCACCUGUGCCGACUGAUUACACAUGCACGAGGUAACGGUAAAAAAUAAAGAUAUUUUCUAUUACCUCGUGCGUUUACUCAGCUGAUUUAAAAGAAAUCCCGUCUAUGCGUAAC